ACUCAAAGGAAUUGACGGGGGCCCGCACAAGCGGCGGAGCAUGCGGAUUAAUUCGAUGCAACGCGAAGAACCUUACCAAGGCUUGACAUGAACCGGAAAGGCCCAGAGAUGGGUCCCCCACUUGUGGCCGGUUUACAGGUGGUGCAUGGUUGUCGUCAGCUCGUGUCGUGAGAUGUUGGGUUAAGUCCCGCAACGAGCGCAACCCUCGUUCUAUGUUGCCAGCGCGUGAUGGCGGGGACUCAUAGGAGACUGCCGGGGUCAACUCGGAGGAAGGUGGGGACGACGUCAAAUCAUCAUGCCCCUUAUGUCUUGGGCUUCACGCAUGCUACAAUGGCCGGUACAAAGGGUUGCGAUGCUGUGAGGUGGAGCUAAUCCCAAAAAGCCGGUCUCAGUUCGGAUUGGGGUCUGCAACUCGACCCCAUGAAGUCGGAGUCGCUAGUAAUCGCAGAUCAGCAACGCUGCGGUGAAUACGUUCCCGGGCCUUGUACACACCGCCGU
This 498-nucleotide ribosomal RNA is filed under the name uncultured bacterium. RNAcentral describes it as "partial 16S ribosomal RNA". It matches the Rfam family "Bacterial small subunit ribosomal RNA", at positions 899 to 1397 of the family's 1533-position model. The record is from RNAcentral.